Molecule: long non-coding RNA, 4428 nt
Filed under: Trifolium pratense (red clover)
Lineage: Eukaryota; Viridiplantae; Streptophyta; Magnoliopsida; Fabales; Fabaceae
Description: long non-coding RNA (TPRA_LNC008394)
Source: RNAcentral
UGGGCAGACAGUAUCGGACAGUUGAAACCCGAAGGGUGUCUACGCUACAUAGUGCCCGACACAUAACCUGAGUAACUACAAUUUCUUAUAUGCAAACCUAUCAAUGUUCUUAGAACACAAAGUCAACUACAUUUACAGUCAAAACCUAGGUCUUCAUGUCUAUUUCACACCAAGCAAAGCAUAUACACUGCAUAUUUUUCAGCGCGAUAAAGUACUAAUUAAUCAAAUUAAUUAAUGCAGAAGUUAAAUAAUAUUAACAUGCAUAAUACAAAAAUUAGUACUAGAAAUUAGUAUCGAUAAAAUGAAAGUUCAGAAAGAAACCUUCAAUGGCAUCUCUUGGAGGCUUAAAACCAAGGCCAACAGAUUUCCAGAAUCGAUUACCACCCUUUCCAGGUCUCUUCCCCUUUCCAGAUUUCUUCGAGCUUAAAAACACUUUCUGUUGCUUCGAAAAAGCCUUCUCAGUCUACAAAUUCAAAUUCACAAAUUAAUUAGAUUGGAUAAUCGAAGAUUUAUGAAAACUAAAAAUAAUAAUAAGUUGAUUGAUGUGAAUGUAAACACGAACUUGUUCCGCCAUUGUUAGUUGCAGCAAGCAGCACUGUGUUGGUAACCCUAACCUGUGAAGACGAUGAUGCUACUUUUAUAACGAAGAACAGUUUUUUUUAGUUUUAAUUUUUUUUCUUCAUCGCUUGGGCUUUACAAUAUGGGCUAAGUGUUAUUCUUCCACCUUCUGUUUUCUAAUACACCCUCUCUAUUUAACAAAAGUAUCCAAUUAGCCUUUUAUAUAUAUGAAUUAGAGCUGUCAAAGGGGCCGGCCCGGAGGGGCCCGGUCAAAUAAAGGGGCUGGCCCAGCCCGCCCGUUAACUUCAUGGUCCGGUCCGCUUAGCCCAGCCCGAUAAGCAAAAGCCUACAUAGCCCGAUGGGCCGACCCACUAAUUUUCAUAGUAUUUUUUUUUUGAAAAAAAAAUAUUCUACUAAAUUUAUGUUAUAAUUCUCAACUAAAUCUUUAAGAAGGUAAUUCAUAUCCCUAUAUUUUCUCACAUAAUCUCUCAAACAACAAUUUCUUCCUCUUUAUCCUCAUCAAACAAACAAACAAAUCUCUAACAAAUACUCUCAUUCUAAUCCAAUAAGUUUUUUGUCAUAUUAUUAUUAUUAUUAUUAUUAUUAUUAUUAUUAUUACUACCCAAAUUUUUUUUUCAAGUUUUAUAUCUUUCAUUCAUCCAUUGUAAUUUAAGUAUAAAAAAAAACAAAAAUAUAGAAAGAAUAUAAAAUAAAUACAAUAAAAAGAUGAUAGCCUUAAAAUAACCAUAUUCCAAGUUUUAUAUCCUUCGUUGUAAUUACACAAAAAAAAUAAAAGAUGAUAUGCAUAAAAAUAGGAAUAAAACAAAUUAUAGAUAGGAACAAAACACAAAUAAUAACAAUAAAACAACAAAAAAAAUAAAAAAAAAUUAUAUAUGAAUUUAUGCAUAAAAAUAGGACCAAAAUAUAACAAUAAAAAGAUUAUAAAAAAAAUUUAAAUAUUUUUUUAAUUCUUUAAGGGGCCGGCCCAAAAGCCUGCGGGCCGGCCAUGACGGCCCAUGAAAAAGCCUGACCCGUUAAGGUCCGGCCUAGUUUUUAUGAAGCCUGGCACAUGUAAAAGGAUAGGGCUAAUGGGCCGGCCUGAUAGCCCCGGCCCUUUUUGACAGCUCUAAUAUGAAUUAAUCAAAUUAUAUAUGUAAAUUAUUGAUAUAUAGCAAAGCUGACCCAAACAAGGGCUUUGAACCCCCCCCAAAAAAAAAACCAAUUUUUUAACAAUGAAAAAAUGUAUAAGUGAUAAGUCCAAUAGUGAGUCCCCCACGAUCUACUUUGAUUUUAUCGGGCAGUGCCGCCCGCAUGAGGGACUCUCNNNNNNNNNNNNNNNNNUAUAAAGACCUCCCAUUAUGGUGAGAAAAAAAUGACACUUUGUAUUUUCACCGGAUUUUCUAUGAGAACUCCAUCGUUCAUCCUUAAUUUGCAGAUAUUUGUUUCUCCAUAUUUACAACUCAAAAUUCCAAUUUCUUCAUUCAUUGUUAUUGAUACAUUUAAUUCUAAAAAGGUAGAAAACAUCAAUGAUCAUCACGAACUACACCGUUAAAAUAUCUUUUAAAGAACCUCACAUUAGAUAAAAAAUAACCUAAAUAUAAGUUUAUAAAUGGCGAACCUUAUAUCUUCAUACUUUUUUUUUUUUAUAGAACUUUGAAAUCGGCUUAUAAGAUGAAAAUUUCACGUAUAAACAUAUCUUCAUGUCGACUCUUAACACCCUCUUAUGCCCAAACUAAGGAGGCUCUUGUACCGGUCAACCUUAUACUAAUUGUGGAUUCAACUUUAUAAAAACCAGAUUAUUAUAUUAUAAAAAUUAUCCUAAUUUAUAUAAACAUAUUUGCAGAUCUUCCUUCAUCACAUAUAAAACUCUUAACGAUAUCAAUUUCCAUGAUAAUUUCAGAACUCAGCAUCUAACAAUUUAAAUCUCAAAAAUCAUGGAUAGACUAGUUGUAGAAUUGUGGACCAUACCAUAUAUGAACAAAAUGGGAUAUAUAGACAGAAGAGAUGCAGAUUUGAAUCACCAACUAUACUUUAUAUUUAAUAAUAUUAAAUGGUACAAGAAAACUCUUAAACUUGAUAAAAAAAAAUGCAAAGUAACACAUCCAAAUUUGAUCAAGUAUGACUACAUCAUGAUCUUAGAAUAUUUGAAACUAAGAUAUAACUGUCUUCAACGCUAACUGAAAACUCAAAUUCCUGUAAACGCCUUCUUUGCACCACUAGCAGAUCCGGCUGGGAUCACUUUCAAUGCAUUGAAUCUAACUGUCUUUGAGAGUGGCCUAUGAACAUGGCAGAAGUAGAGGUAAUCAGGGGGCUAAAAUACACAACAAAUAAUUUCUUACUUGAAUAAACCAACAAAAAAAAAGCUGUAUUAUUCUAUAAAUAUCUGACCUGCAUUGACCAAUAAUAACAUGAUCUCCUUCCUUCACUCGGAAACAAGGUGAUAUGUGUGCAGGAAUAUUAGAAUGACGCUUCUCAUAUCUAAUAAGAACGAGUUAAAACCCAAAUAGUUACACAUUUGUAGCACAAAAUACAAUAAAAUCGAGCCCAAUGGUAAGAAAGGGGAAUGAAUACCUCUGAUACUUCUUAACGAAAUGAAGAUAAUCCCUUUUAACAAUAAUGGUCCUAUUCAUCUUAGCACUGUGACAAGUACCGGCUAGAAUACGACCNNNNNNNNNNNNNNNNNNNNNNNNNNNNNNNNNNCACUUCUUGUCAAUAUAGGUUCCUGGAUGAAAACAAGAAAAAAAUAGCCUUCAGUUACAAACCCAAGUGACCUUUGUAUAAAUAAAUUGAAAAUAAAAAUAAAAGUACUUGAUGCGGUAUAGCAUAAUAUAGCUCUAUAUGUACAGGAGAUUAUAAAUUUAUUUAUUCAAAGAACAAUGUAAGAAAGAGUUUAAUUAGAGAUAACAAAGGAUCAUCAUCUAGUUGCACACAAUAAUUUGGAUUUUAAAGGAAUUCCGUUGAACUAUCUUAUUCAGUUGGCUAGACUUCUAUUUCCCAACACUUGCAUGAACUAUGAAACGCACGGACAGAGACACAUCAAGCCAAUAAUAAUUUGAAAGAAUGUCAUAAUUCAAUGUAAUGUUGGUGUCACAGGUCAAUUGGAUUGAUCCCUAUCCAUACCAGUCUUUCGACCUAAAUGAAACCCGGUCUCUUUGAUGUGUAGUUCCCAUGGCCACUGAUCCAUAAGAACCACAUCUGUCUCAAGCUCAAGCUGACCCAUCCUGGAGAAAACUACUGAAUCGGCUCUUGGAAUAGGAAUUCAGCCAAACUUUCCCAUUUGAAAGCAAAAUUCACGGUAAACUGAAACUGUAUCGAUUUCAAUGUCCCUCUAUAGGCUAAAAUGGACUUAAAAUACAGGGUUUUAACAAGUUGAUGGAUUUUAUGGGCAGACAGUAUCGGACAGUUGAAACCCGAAGGGUGUCUACGCUACAUAGCCCCCGACACAUAACCUGAGUAACUACAAUUUCUUAUAUGCAAAGCUAUCAAUGUUCUUAGACAGACCAAUCUAUCUAUUGUUCUUAGAACACAAUGUCAACUACAUUUACAGUCAAAACCUAGGUCUUCAUGUCUAUUUCACACCAAGCAAAGCAUAUACACUACAUAUUUUUCGGCGCGAUAAAGCACUAAUUAAUCAAAUUAAUUAAUGCAGAAGUUAAAUAAUAUUAACAUGCAUAAUACAAAAAUCAGUACUAGAAAUUAGUAUUGAUAAAAUGAAAGUUCAGAAAGAAACCUUCAAUAGCAUCUCUUGGAGGCUUAAAACCAAGGCCAACAGAUUUCCAGAAUCGAUUACCACCCUUUCCAGGUCUCUUCCCCUUUCCAGAUUUCUUCGAGCUUAAAAACACUUUCUGUUGCUUCGAAAAAGCCUUCUCA